CCUACGGGAGGCAGCAGUGAGGAAUAUUGGUCAAUGGACGAGAGUCUGAACCAGCCAAGUAGCGUGAAGGAUGACUGCCCUAUGGGUUGUAAACUUCUUUUAUAUGGGAAUAAACUGUUCCACGUGUGGGUUUUUGUAUGUACCAUAUGAAUAAGGAUCGGCUAACUCCGUGCCAGCAGCCGCGGUAAUGCGGAGGAUCCGAGCGUUAUCCGGAUUUAUUGGGUUUAAAGGGAGCGUAGGUGGGUUGUUAAGUCAGUUGUGAAAGUUUGCGGCUCAACCGUAAAAUUGCAGUUGAAACUGGCAGUCUUGAGUACAGGAGAGGUGGGCGGAAUGCGUGGUGUAGCGGUGAAAUGCAUAGAUAUCACGAAGAACUCCGAUUGCGAAGGCAGUUCACUGGACUGCAAAUGACACUGAGGCACGAAAGUGUGGGUAUCAAACAGGAUUAGAUACCCCGGUAGUC
RNAcentral lists this ribosomal RNA (460 nucleotides) under uncultured bacterium. RNAcentral's name for it is "partial 16S ribosomal RNA". It matches the Rfam family "Bacterial small subunit ribosomal RNA", at positions 338 to 795 of the family's 1533-position model. The record is from RNAcentral.